CAGCCGCCGCGGGAAUACAGAGGGUGCGAGCGUUAAUCGGAUUUACUGGGCGUAAAGCGUGCGUAGGCGGCUUUUUAAGUCGGAUGUGAAAUCCCUGAGCUUAACUUAGGAAUUGCAUUCGAUACUGGGAAGCUAGAGUAUUGGAGAGGAUGGUAGAAUUCCAGGUGUAGCGGUGAAAUGCGUAGAGAUCUGGAGGAAUACCGAUGGCGAAGGCAGCCAUCUGGCCUAAUACUGACGCUGAGGUACGAAAGCAUGGGGAGCAAACAGGAUUAGAUACCCCCGUAGUCCCUGUCUCUUAUAC
RNAcentral lists this ribosomal RNA (301 nucleotides) under uncultured bacterium. RNAcentral describes it as "partial 16S ribosomal RNA". It matches the Rfam family "Bacterial small subunit ribosomal RNA", at positions 509 to 807 of the family's 1533-position model. The record is from RNAcentral.